GAGGGUAUAGCUCAGUGGAAGAGUGCAUGCCUAGCAUGCAUGAGGUCUUCGGUACAAUCCCCAGUACCUCCA
RNAcentral lists this transfer RNA (72 nucleotides) under Camelus dromedarius (Arabian camel). It matches the Rfam family "tRNA". Rfam says of the family: Transfer RNA (tRNA) molecules are approximately 80 nucleotides in length. Their secondary structure includes four short double-helical elements and three loops (D, anti-codon, and T loops). RNAcentral also lists the same sequence under 1 other name. Lineage: Eukaryota; Metazoa; Chordata; Mammalia; Artiodactyla; Camelidae. The record is from Rfam by way of RNAcentral.